UGGGGAAUAUUGCACAAUGGGCGCAAGCCUGAUGCAGCCAUGCCGCGUGUGUGAAGAAGGCCUUCGGGUUGUAAAGCACUUUCAGCGAGGAGGAAGGUGGUGAGCUUAAUACGCUCAUCAAUUGACGUUACUCGCAGAAGAAGCACCGGCUAACUCCGUGCCAGCAGCCGCGGUAAUACGGAGGGUGCAAGCGUUAAUCGGAAUUACUGGGCGUAAAGCGCACGCAGGCGGUUUGUUAAGUCAGAUGUGAAAUCCCCGGGCUCAACCUGGGAACUGCAUUUGAAACUGGCAAGCUAGAGUCUCGUAGAGGGGGGUAGAAUUCCAGGUGUAGCGGUGAAAUGCGUAGAGAUCUGGAGGAAUACCGGUGGCGAAGGCGGCCCCCCUGGACGAAGACUGACGCUCAGGUGCGAAAGCGUGGGGCAGCAAACAGGAUUAGAUACCCUGGUAGUCCACGCUGUAAACGAUGUCGAUUUUGGAGGUUGUGCCCUUGAGGCGUGGNUUCCGGAGCUAACG
This 513-nucleotide ribosomal RNA is filed under the name uncultured bacterium. Its description in RNAcentral is "partial 16S ribosomal RNA". It matches the Rfam family "Bacterial small subunit ribosomal RNA", at positions 355 to 857 of the family's 1533-position model. The record is from RNAcentral.